Molecule: ribosomal RNA, 428 nt
Filed under: uncultured bacterium
Lineage: Bacteria
Description: bacterial SSU rRNA
Rfam family: Bacterial small subunit ribosomal RNA
Source: RNAcentral
UGGGGAAUUUUGCGCAAUGGGCGAAAGCCUGACGCAGCAAUACCGCGUGAGUGAUGAAGGCUCUUGGGUCGUAAAGCUCUGUCAGAGGGGAAGAACCUCCUGUCAUAUAAUACAUGGCAGGCCUGACGGUACCCUCAGAGGAAGCACCGGCUAACUCCGUGCCAGCAGCCGCGGUAAUACGGAGGGUGCAAACGUUGUUCGGAAUUAUUGGGCGUAAAGAGCAUGUAGGCGGUCUGUCAAGUCUGAUGUGAAAGCCCGGGGCUCAACCCCGGAAGUGCAUUGGAAACUGGCAGACUUGAGUACGGGAGAGGAAAGUGGAAUUUCGAGUGUAGGGGUGAAAUCCGUAGAUAUUCGAAGGAACACCAGUGGCGAAGGCGGCUUUCUGGACCGAUACUGACGCUGAGAUGCGAAAGCGUGGGGAGCAAACA